GGCAAAUUCUACUGUAAACCGCACUACUGUUACCGACUGUCUGGCUACGCGCAAAGGAAGAGGCCAGCGGUGGCGCCACUGUCUGGAAAGGAAGCCAAAGGACCCCUGCAGGAUGGCCCCACCGCAGACACAAACGGACUGGCCAGCGCCGCCACCAGCUCAGCCGAGAGAAGUCCAGAUUCUUAACUAUAUAGCCCCGGCUAGAACUGGAUAUUUGGACGAGGCUUGCCUCAGAGUCACAGAGGUCCGCCCACCUCUGCCUCCCAAGUGCUGGUAUCAAAGGGGUAUGCCACUGUGCCCAGCCGCCAAUAUAUCUUCCACAGCCAGGUACAAACUCAAAUAAAAAUGAAAGAUG
RNAcentral lists this long non-coding RNA (355 nucleotides) under Rattus norvegicus (Norway rat). RNAcentral's name for it is "long non-coding RNA NONRATT021805". The record is from RNAcentral. Lineage: Eukaryota; Metazoa; Chordata; Mammalia; Rodentia; Muridae.